This 386-nucleotide ribosomal RNA is filed under the name uncultured bacterium. RNAcentral describes it as "bacterial SSU rRNA". It matches the Rfam family "Bacterial small subunit ribosomal RNA", at positions 30 to 415 of the family's 1533-position model. The record is from RNAcentral.
AUUGAACGCUGGCGGCAUGCCUUACACAUGCAAGUCGAACGGCAGCACGGGAGCAAUCCUGGUGGCGAGUGGCGAACGGGUGAGUAAUAUAUCGGAACGUGCCCAGUCGUGGGGGAUAACGUAGCGAAAGCUACGCUAAUACCGCAUACGAUCUAUGGAUGAAAGCGGGGGAUCGCAAGACCUCGCGCGAUUGGAGCGGCCGAUAUCAGAUUAGGUAGUUGGUGAGGUAAAGGCUCACCAAGCCGACGAUCUGUAGCUGGUCUGAGAGGACGACCAGCCACACUGGGACUGAGACACGGCCCAGACUCCUACGGGAGGCAGCAGUGGGGAAUUUUUGGACAAUGGGCGCAAGCCUGAUCCAGCAAUGCCGCGUGCAGGAUGAAGCU